UACAUUACUCAAAUGUUUGUAAUAUACCAUGUGAUAUAUUCUAUAUAUUAUAAGACAAUCUGUAUCUGAUUAACUUGUAUGUAAACGUUUUGUUUUUGUUUUGUAUUGUGAGCUUCAAGCUUUGUGUGUUUUCUGUACCACAGUCAGGGCUGUUUUCCUGUUGUGAUGGGAGGGUUGUUGGGUGUAGACGUCUUUCACACGUGAUUUUAAGCACUUUCCAAAGAGUAACUUACAUUAUCUCUUACAUUAUCUCUUACAUUAUCUAUGACAGUAAUAAUUUACAGUAAUAAUUUGGACCUUUAUUUUUUGUUGUUCAGUUGAACUUUGAUACAAACACAACUACUAUACUAUGAUCAGGUGUGGAGCCUGACUUCCUGCUCUAUACUAUGAUCAGGUAUGGGGCCUGACUUCCUGCACUUCCUGAGGAUGAUGUCAUACUUUCACUUUCAGCUGCUUGUCUCCCCUCUGGCAGGACCAGUCCAAAUAUAACAUGAAGGAUCCAUUGGCCUAGUGUGAGACCAUGAAAACCGUGAGGUAUCAUGGGUAAAUUGUGACUGACUGAUGUACAAAUAAUAUUAAGUAGUUAUUUAUGAUGCAAGGUGGUUUGUAGAUCAGUCAAGUCUCGUCUUUAAAUUCGGCGGCCAUGUCUAACGGUCCCAUUUUGUUUUUCUGGGCGGGAACAUACAUAGACCAUGUUACAUACAUGAUAUAUACACAUAGACCAUGUAUGAUUUAGUUGUAUUACCAUAGUGAUGAGACUUUUCUCCUGUAACUUUCACAGGAGUGUUUAUUUAUGAAUCCUUUUGUAUCAAAGAAAUACAUUGGAACAACCAAAACAACUGAGCCGCCCCAAAUAUAAAAGGAACAUUGUUAAUAUGAUUUGUUGAUAUGUUUUCAUUAAUUACUAAAGCAAUACUCUUUUAUAAGGUCAUUGUUAUUAUAUUGACAUCACAAAUGCAGAAUGUGUGGAUUAAGACGUGUUUUCUAAUUCUUUCAUCAACACACAUACGCAUUACUUUUUGUAAAUAAAUGUAUGGAGCUGUUCUGUUUCUCUGUAUAGUUGUACAGAGUAAAUGUGAUACAGCCUGGGAUUGAACCCGGGUCUGUAGUGACGUCUCUAGCACUGAGAGGCAGUACCAUAGAACGCUAUGUCACCCAGGAGGCUAUAGUGGACUACUCCUGACCGUGAUCCAUAGUCCACUGUUAGGAUAGAAGAUAGAAGAGCUGUGUCACAUGUCAAGGUGUCUGUAUUCUUCUGACUGGGUUUUGAAACUGUCACAAUAUCACCCCCCCAAAAAAAUGGAACUUUUGUAUAUUGUGAAUGAACUGG
Long non-coding RNA from Oncorhynchus tshawytscha (Chinook salmon), 1330 nucleotides. NCBI's taxonomy places the organism in Eukaryota, Metazoa, Chordata, Actinopteri, Salmoniformes, Salmonidae. The record is from Ensembl.